RNAcentral lists this transfer RNA (73 nucleotides) under Chloroflexota bacterium. RNAcentral's name for it is "Chloroflexi bacterium tRNA-Gly". It matches the Rfam family "tRNA". From Rfam's summary of the family: Transfer RNA (tRNA) molecules are approximately 80 nucleotides in length. Their secondary structure includes four short double-helical elements and three loops (D, anti-codon, and T loops). RNAcentral also lists the same sequence under 1 other name. The record is from RNAcentral. Lineage: Bacteria; Bacillati; Chloroflexota.
GCGGGAGUAGCUCAGUUGGUAGAGCGUUUGCUUCCCAAGCAAAAAGUCGCGGGUUCGAAUCCCGUCUCCCGCU